This 500-nucleotide ribosomal RNA is filed under the name uncultured bacterium. RNAcentral describes it as "partial 16S ribosomal RNA". It matches the Rfam family "Bacterial small subunit ribosomal RNA", at positions 30 to 523 of the family's 1533-position model. The record is from RNAcentral.
AUUGAACGCUGGCGGGAUGCUUUACACAUGCAAGUCGAACGGCAGCACGGACUUCGGUCUGGUGGUGAGUGGCGAACGGGUGAGUAAUACAACGGAACGUGCCCAAUCGUGGGGGAUAACGUAGCGAAAGCUACGCUAAUACCGCAUACGAUCUAAGGAUGAAAGCGGGGGAUCGCAAGACCUCGCGCGAUUGGAGCGGCCGAUGGCAGAUUAGGUAGUUGGUAGGGUAAAGGCCUACCAAGCCGACGAUCUGUAGCUGGUCUGAGAGGAUGAUCAGCCACACUGGGACUGAGACACGGCCCAGACUCCUACGGGAGGCAGCAGUGGGGAAUUUUGGACAAUGGACGCAAGUCUGAUCCAGCCAUUCCGCGUGCAGGAUGAAGGCCCUCGGGUUGUAAACUGCUUUUGUACAGAACGAAAAGGCUCUGGUUAAUACCUAGGGCUCAUGACGGUACUGUAAGAAUAGGCACCGGCUAACUACGUGCCAGCAGCCGCCGUAA